Neodiprion fabricii is the source of this 892-nucleotide long non-coding RNA. RefSeq lists it as uncharacterized. The transcript has 2 exons. The record is from RefSeq and is a predicted model, not a curated record. NCBI's taxonomy places the organism in Eukaryota, Metazoa, Arthropoda, Insecta, Hymenoptera, Diprionidae.
CUUUCCCGACUUCUGCCGAGAUCCGCGAGAUGAGGGGAAAAAAGGGAGAAAAUACGGCAAAAAAAAUUUCGCGUCCGUAAAUUCGUGUUUGAUCUUGGUAUCAGCUGCUUAUAUCCAAAAUACCUAUUGCUUAACCAAAAUCAGACGUUAUUUUCAAAACCUAAAAAAUGAUACAAUCCUCAAAUCCCGGCCUAUAUCAGCAUCAUCUUUAUCUCUUGAAACGCUACAAGUUUUGUAUGAAACUUUUUCUUGUAUCUCUUUUCCUUUCCGAGAUAUUCGCACGGGGUAUUUGAAACCGACCACCCUGUACUACGUGAAAUAUAGCUUAAAAUAAUGUUUAUACAGGCUGUAGUUACUUAUGUUUGAGCAUAUAUGCUUAUGAUAUGAUAAUCACAGUAGUAAAAUAAUUCGAAGUUAACAAAAUCAGUUAUUACCUACAGGUAUGUACAUUACAUGAUAAUAUGCCUUUAUCGCCCCACUUUGUAAAAAGGGAACAAGUAUCCAGUUCAUUUCUUCCGUUCAACUUUUUAUUCCACUUUACUAUCUAUUAACAAUUGUUGAAAGAGAUAAAUUCACGGUUACUCAAAUUUCUUACUAUUUAGAAACAAAAUAAAUGGUUGUUAUAUCACAAUAAGUCUAGAAUCUUGUGGCCAAUGAUCGGAACGUAAUGCUUUUGAACUUUUACGACGAUAUUAUUCAGCAUCCGUCUUAACAGUAUGCAAUAACGAUAUAGAAAAAAAAAACAAAUAAAAAUAAAAAAAUAAAGAUGAUAAACAAUAUAUAAAUGUAUUUUUAUUGAUUGAAUUUAUAAAUUAGUUCAAUACCAAAUAUCGCUCUCCUCCCAUCCUUCCUCCUUCCUUCUACCUUACCGUGUGCCAUGAUUUGAAAACAU